Molecule: ribosomal RNA, 449 nt
Filed under: uncultured bacterium
Lineage: Bacteria
Description: bacterial SSU rRNA
Rfam family: Bacterial small subunit ribosomal RNA
Source: RNAcentral
GCCCAGACUCCUACGGGAGGCAGCAGUGGGGAAUAUUGGACAAUGGGGGGAACCCUGAUCCAGCGACGCCGCGUGAGUGAAGAAGUAUUUCGGUAUGUAAAGCUCUCUCAGCAGGGAAGAAAGAAAUGACGGUACCUGACUAAGAAGCCCCGGCUAACUACGUGCCAGCAGCCGCGGUAAUACGUAGGGGGCAAGCGUUAUCCGGAUUUACUGGGUGUAAAGGGAGCGUAGACGGCAGUGCAAGUCUGAAGUGAAAGGCGGGGGCCCAACGCCCGGACUGCUUUGGAAACUGUGCUGCUGGAGUGCAGGAGAGGCAAGUGGAAUUCCUGGUGUAGCGGUGAAAUGCGUAGAUAUCAGGAGGAACACCGGUGGCGAAGGCGGCCUGCUGGACUGCAACUGACGUUGAGGCCCGAAAGCGUGGGGAGCAAACAGGAUUAGAUACCCUAGUA